Molecule: ribosomal RNA, 332 nt
Filed under: uncultured bacterium
Lineage: Bacteria
Description: bacterial SSU rRNA
Rfam family: Bacterial small subunit ribosomal RNA
Source: RNAcentral
CACGUAGGCGGGAAAGCAAGUCAGAUGUGAAAUCCCAAAGCUCAACUCUGGGACUGCAUUUGAUACUGCUUUUCUUGAGUACGAGAGAGGAUGGCGGAAUUCUUGGUGUAGCGGUGAAAUGCGUAGAUAUCAAGAAGAACACCGGUGGCGAAGGCGGCCAUCUGGCUCGAUACUGACGCUCAGGUGCGAAGGUCGGGGGAGCGAACAGGAUUAGAUACCCUGGUAGUCCCGACGGUAAACGAUGGGAACUAGGUGUUGGAGGUAUCGACCCCUCCAGUGCCGCAGCUAACGCAUUAAGUUCCCCGCCUGGGGAGUACGGCCGCAAGGUUGAA